GAGCAGCUCAGAUGCCAUGAAUUAAGUGAAGCACAAAAGGGGAAAAGGAGACCCUUUUGAAGAACAAAGGCCUCCCAUUGGGCUGCCAUGUUCUUUUUUUGACCAAAAGCGCACCCUGCUUGGUUUCCAUUGUUGUCCACAUGCCCUGCACAUAAGCCUGAACCAGCAAUGUGUGGUUUGUGAUCUGUUUCUACACGACAAAGCAAAGGUAUUAAGCUCCUGAUUUAUUC
Molecule: long non-coding RNA, 230 nt
Filed under: Ictidomys tridecemlineatus (thirteen-lined ground squirrel)
Lineage: Eukaryota; Metazoa; Chordata; Mammalia; Rodentia; Sciuridae
Description: lncRNA (ENSSTOG00000029831.1)
Source: RNAcentral